Long non-coding RNA from Taeniopygia guttata (zebra finch), 3032 nucleotides. The record is from Ensembl. Lineage: Eukaryota; Metazoa; Chordata; Aves; Passeriformes; Estrildidae.
CUGGUCUCUAACCAGACCAUACUGGUUUAUACUGGUUUAUACUGGUCCAUACUGGUCUCUAACCGGUCCAUACUGGUCCAUACUGGUCCAUACUGGUCUCUAACUGGUUUAUACUGGUCUGUACUGGUCCAUACUGGUCCAUACUGGUUUAUACUGGUUUAUACUGGUCCAUACUGGUCUGUAACUGGUAUAUACUGGUCUGUAACUGGUCCAUACUGGUCUCUAACUGGUCCAUACUGGUUUAUACUGGUUUAUACUGGUCCAUACUGGUCUAUACUGGUCUCUAACUGGUCUCUACUGGUCCAUACUGGUCCAUACUGGUCUCUAACUGAUCCAUACUGGUCCAUACUGAUCCAUACCGGUCCAUACUGGUCCAUACUGUUCCAUACUGGUCCAUACUGGUCCGUACUGGUCCAUACUGGUCCAUACUGGUCUCUAACUGGUUUAUACUGGGAGUCCGUACUGGUCCAUACUGGUCUCUUAACUGGUCCAUACUGGUCCAUACUGGUCUGUACUGGUCUGUACUGGUAUAUACUGGUCCAUACUGGUUUAUACUGGUCCAUACUGGUUUAUACUGGGGUCACUCACGGGGCGUGUCCCGGGCGGCUCCAGGUGAGCUCCGGGGCCGGGUGGGCGGGGCCGGCGCGGCAGGUGAGGCUGAGGGCGUGGCCGGGGCGGGGCUGGGGCGGGGCCAGCGAGAUGGAGACGGACUGGGCGGGAACUGGGGAGACUGGGAGUUACUGGGAGGGACUGGGAGGGACUGGGAGGGAACUGGGGGGACUGGGAGUUACUGGUUUGUACUGGGAGGGACUGGGAGGGACUGGGAGGGACUGGGAGGGAACUGGGAGGGAUUGGGAGUUACUGGUUUGUACUGGGAGGGACUGGGUUAUACUGGGAGGGACUGGGAGGGGAUUGGGAGGGAACUGGGAGGGACUGGGAGGGACUGGGAGGGACUGGGAGGUACUGGGAGGUACUGGUUUAUACUGGGAGGCACUGGGAGGGACUGGGAGGGACUGGGAGGGGACUGGGAGGGAACUGGGAGGGACUGGGAGGUACUGGUUUAUACUGGGAGGCACUGGGAGGGACUGGGAGGGACUGGGAGGGACUGGGAGGGAACUGGGAGGGACUGGGAGGGAACUGGUUUAUACUGGGAGGGACUGGGAGGGAGUGGGAGGGACUGGGAGGGGACUGGGAGGGGAUUGGGAGGGACUGGGUUAUACUGGGUUAUACUGGGAGCGGACUGGUGGGCUUGGGGGUGUGGCCACACUGUGCCGCUCCCAGUCCCUCCCAGUCCGUCCCAGUUCCCUCCCAGUAUGACUCAAUCCCCUCCAAUCCUCUCCCAGUCCCUCCCAGUAUAAACCAGUUCCCUCCCAGUCCCCUCCCAGUCCCCCCCAAUCUCCUCCCAGUUUGUCCCAGUACACUCCCAGUCCCUCCGAAUUCCCUCCCAGUAUAACCCAGUCCCCUCCCAGUCCCUCCCAGUUCCCCUCCAUCCCCUCCCAGUAUAAACCAGUCCCUCCCAGUAUAACCCAGUCCUCUCUUAGUCCCUCCCAGUAUAAACGAGUUCCCUCCCACUCCCUCCCAGUCCCCUCCCAGUAUAACCCAGUAUAUCCCAGUCCCCCACAGUCCCCUCCCAAUCCCUUCCCAGUCCCUCCCAGUCCCUCCCAGUUCCCUCCCAGUUCCCUCCCAGUAUAUCCCAAUCCCCUCCCAGUCCCUCCCAGUCCCUCCCAGUCCCUCCCAUUUCCUCCCAGUAUAAACCAGUAACACUUUUUAACCCUCCCAGUAUAACCCAGUCCCUCCCAGUCCCUCCCAGUAUAAACCAGUUCCUCCCAGUUCCCUCCCAGUAUAACCCAGUCCCCUCCCACCCUCUCCCAGUAUAUCCCAGUCCCUCCCAAUCCCCUCCCAGUCCCUCCCAGUCCCUCCCAGUCCCUCCCAGUAUAAACCAGUAACACUUUUUAACCCUCCCAGUCCCUCCCAGUAUAACCCAAUCCCCUCCCAGUCCCUCCCAGUUCCUCCCAGUCCCUCCCAGUCCCUCCCAGUCCCUCCCAUUCCCCUCCCAGUUCCCUCCCAGUUCCCUCCCAGUUCCCUCCCAGUCCCUCCCAGUUCCCUCCCAGUCCCUCCCAGUCCCUCCCAGUCCCCUCCCAGUUCCCUCCCAGUCCCUCCCAGUCCCCUCCCAGUUCCCUCCCAUUCCCCUCCCAGUUCCCUCCCAGUUCCCUCCCAGUUCCCUCCCAGUCCCUCCCAGUUCCCUCCCAGUUCCCUCCCAGUCCCUCCCAGUCCCUCCCAGUCCCUCCCAGUCCCUCCCAGUAUAAACCAGUAUCCCCAGUCUCUCACAGAGCACGCGCACGCGCACUGGGGCGCUCCGGGCCGGCCCCGCCUCGCACCGGAAGUCGGCGCCAUUGUCGGAAGGGGCGGCGGUCACGUGCAGCGCCCGCAUGGUCACGUGACCCGAGCGGCUCUGGGGCGGCGCUUCCGGGAGGGGGCGGCCGUCCUGGGAGGGGGCGGGGCUUGAGCGGGGGGGACUGGGAUAUACUGGGAGGGACUGGGAGGGGACUGGGAUAUACUGGGAGGGACUGGGAGGGGACUGGGAUAUACUGGGAGGGAACUGGGAGGGGAUUGGGAUAUACUGGGAUGGACUGGGAGGGACUGGGAGGGGACUGGGAUAUACUGGGAUAUACUGGUUUAUACUGGGAGGGGAUUGGGGGAGACUGGGAUAUACUGGGAUGGGACUGGGAGGAACUGGGGGGGACUGGGAGGGACUGGGGGGGACUGGGGGGGACUGGGGGGGAGUGGUUUAUACUGGGAGGGGACUGGGAGGGACUGGGAUAUACUGGGAUGGGACUGGGAGGGGAUUGGGAGGGAACUGGGAGGGACUGGUUUAUACUGGGAGGGACUGGGAGGGGACUGCGAGGGACUGGGAGAUACUGGGAUAUACUGGGAUGGGACUGGGAGGGACUGGGAAGGACUGGGAGGGAAGUGGAAUGGACUAGGAUAUACUGGGAGGGGACUGGGAUGGGACUGGGGGGGAUUGCGAGAGA